RNAcentral lists this transfer RNA (67 nucleotides) under Burkholderia multivorans. RNAcentral's name for it is "tRNA-Pro". Lineage: Bacteria; Pseudomonadati; Pseudomonadota; Betaproteobacteria; Burkholderiales; Burkholderiaceae. The record is from RNAcentral.
CGGGGGAUGCGGAAAUCGCUGCAUGGGGUGCAGGUGGUCGGAGGUUCAAAUCCUCUCGCCCCGACCA